UACGGAGGGUGCGAGCGUUGUCCGGAAUUACUGGGCGUAAAGAGCUCGUAGGUGGUUUGUCGCGUUGUUCGUGAAAUCCCACGGCUUAACUGUGGGCGUGCGGGCGAUACGGGCAGACUGGAGUACUGCAGGGGAGACUGGAAUUCCUGGUGUAGCGGUGGAAUGCGCAGAUAUCAGGAGGAACACCGGUGGCGAAGGCGGGUCUCUGGGCAGUAACUGACGCUGAGGAGCGAAAGCGUGGGGAGCGAACAGG
This 253-nucleotide ribosomal RNA is filed under the name uncultured bacterium. RNAcentral describes it as "partial 16S ribosomal RNA". It matches the Rfam family "Bacterial small subunit ribosomal RNA", at positions 524 to 776 of the family's 1533-position model. The record is from RNAcentral.